This 694-nucleotide long non-coding RNA is filed under the name Nicotiana benthamiana. RNAcentral's name for it is "long non-coding RNA (NBEN_LNC008662)". Lineage: Eukaryota; Viridiplantae; Streptophyta; Magnoliopsida; Solanales; Solanaceae. The record is from RNAcentral.
GCAAGCCAAUAUGUUUUGAGAGGAAAAGAAACAAAAAGUCAUACAUCAUUGUGUUAAUAUCUAACCAGUAACAUUUAUAUAAUUCUUUGAGCUACUAGCAGUUGAAGUAGAAGAAUCUAUCUAUAUUGGCGUAACUGGUAAAGUUACUGCUAGGUGACUAGGAGGCCACGGGUUCGAACCAUGGAAACAGCCUCUUGCAGAAAUAUAGGGUAAGACUACGUACAAUAGACCCUUGUGGUUUGGCCCUUCCCCGGAUCUUGCGCAUAGCGGGAGCUUAGUGCACCGGCUGCCCUUUUGUUGGAGUCAUCCUAUAGACUGAAGGGAAGCUUGGAGCAAUGACAAAGUUAUCUUCAUGUAUGACUUGUAGGUCACGGAUUUAAGCCACGGAAUCAGCCAAGGUGCCUACAUCACACCCCCUCGGGAUGGCGCCCUUCCUCGGACCCUGUGUAUUUUGAGAAUGAAAUUCCAACUCACUUCCAAGAGUAAAGAGCAGGAAGAAAAAGGAGCAAGGAUUUUGACAAAAGCAAAAAAAAAAAAUCUAAAAGGUAGAUCACUUGUGACCUAGUAUGAUCCCACUUAGUAGGGUCUGGUGAGGGUAGUGCGUACGCAGACCUUACCCCUAACCUAGAGUAGAGAGGCUGUUUCCAAAUAGACCCUGGCAUCCUUCCCUCCAAGAACUUUUCACCUUGCUUAC